UGCGAAUACCGGAGAAUGUUAUCACGGGAGACACACGGCGGGUGCUAACGUCCGUCGUGAAGAGGGAAACAACCCAGACCGCCAGCUAAGGUCCCAAAGUCAUGGUUAAGUGGGAAACGAUGUGGGAAGGCCCAGACAGCCAGGAUGUUGGCUUAGAAGCAGCCAUCAUUUAAAGAAAGCGUAAUAGCUCACUGGUCGAGUCGGCCUGCGCGGAAGAUGUAACGGGGCUAAACCAUGCACCGAAGCUGCGGCAGCGACACUGUGUGUUGUUGGGUAGGGGAGCGUUCUGUAAGCCUGUGAAGGUGGCCUGUGAGGGUUGCUGGAGGUAUCAGAAGUGCGAAUGCUGACAUAAGUAACGAUAAAGCGGGUGAAAAGCCCGCUCGCCGGAAGACCAAGGGUUCCUGUCCAACGUUAAUCGGGGCAGGGUGAGUCGACCCCUAAGGCGAGGCCGAAAGGCGUAGUCGAUGGGAAACGGGUUAAUAUUCCCGUACUUGGUGUUACUGCGAAGGGGGGACGGAGAAGGCUAUGUUGGCCGGGCGACGGUUGUCCCGGUUUAAGCGUGUAGGUGUGUGUUCCAGGUAAAUCCGGUU
RNAcentral lists this ribosomal RNA (590 nucleotides) under Salmonella enterica subsp. enterica serovar Agona. Its description in RNAcentral is "partial 23S ribosomal RNA". It matches the Rfam family "Bacterial large subunit ribosomal RNA", at positions 955 to 1547 of the family's 2925-position model. The record is from RNAcentral. Lineage: Bacteria; Pseudomonadati; Pseudomonadota; Gammaproteobacteria; Enterobacterales; Enterobacteriaceae.